Molecule: long non-coding RNA, 212 nt
Filed under: Theobroma cacao (cacao)
Lineage: Eukaryota; Viridiplantae; Streptophyta; Magnoliopsida; Malvales; Malvaceae
Description: long non-coding RNA (TCAC_LNC004604)
Source: RNAcentral
GGCAAACAACAGUUUAUGCAUUUUCAACACAAAUAUCCAUCCAGCCAUUCAUGCCCACAUUAUCAUAACCUGUUCAAUUCAAAACAUAAUUUACAAUACAGCAAGUAGUCUCCAAUUACACCAUUUUCAAGUCAUCAUUAAAUUUCAAAACAAUUUAUAAAAUCAUUUCAUUUAAACAUAUUUUCCAUAAAAUUACAAAAUCGGAUAAAAAC